Molecule: long non-coding RNA, 1421 nt
Filed under: Mytilus galloprovincialis (Mediterranean mussel)
Lineage: Eukaryota; Metazoa; Mollusca; Bivalvia; Mytilida; Mytilidae
Source: RNAcentral
GUGCCAUUUCAGCUUUGCACGUGUAAUUGAUGUUUUACCUUCUGUACCUGUACUUUUAAAGCGAAAUUUAAUUUUGUUUUGCAGCACACGUUCAGAACACAACAAGCAUUGGUAAGAAAAACACAUAAAAGUUUGAAAAAAUUGCAUGGGGUGUCAACCAUGCCUCUCGGAAAAUGACGGUCAGAUGGCUCUUGGAAUGGUUGAUGCCGGCAUGAGUGUUGCUGACGUCGUGGCUCGAUUUUAUGUGCAUAAGUCAACAGUUUAGGGACUAGCAAACAGAAAUCAACAAAUUGCAACAACACAGGAUAGGUUGAUAUGCUGUAGACCAAAAACAACCAUCGUCAAGGGAGGAGCGCUACCUUCGCUUUACGUUAACAUGUGGUAAGUUUCUUCUGGCCACAAGAGUAGUGCAUUGACUAAGGGUAGCUGCUGGUGUUCCUGCCAAUCCUUCAUUGAUGCACUUAGAACAUGGCAGAGAAAUUGAUUUUGAAUAACACUAUACUCAUUUCCGCAUUUUGACCCUCCCGCGCUCCAUACAAAAAAUAUCCUAAUGAAUAUGAGUGUUAAACAUUCAUGUUGCUUCUGACAUGUCAUAAUUCCAUUUUUUUAUUAUCAUUUUGUAAUAAAAUUUCAUAUUUUUGUUGCUAAACUUUUUUGGCUCAGUAUAGAUAAACAUACAUCACUUUCGAUUCUUUGAAGUUACCUAUGCUAUAUAUUUUCUAUAGGCUAUAAAAAAUAUAAAGAAACUUAAAAUCCAAUUGUUCAGAGAACAAUUGCAGGUCUUUCCACAAGUAAGGAUAAUUUUAAUAGUAUUCUUAAAAUUUUAAUUGGAUUACCUCCCAUACACUAGCAAAUUUACCUGACGAUAUCGGGAUAUAGGUAUUUAAUCGGAUCUUAAUAUGUACUUGUGAUUUGUUUAAAACCGGUUUUUCAUAAAAAUAAACGAAGAAAUGUCGAAAUGUUCAGAACUUAAUUAAAUCUGUAUUUGGGUAAGAUGGUGCAAGCAUACGAUUUUUAUUGCGUCUUACACUUUGAGAAGCGAAUAAUCUUUAGCUACUUUAUUUAAAUAUUGUGUAAAAACGUUAAUUAUGAGCUAUGAAAGUUUAAGUCAAGUGGCUCGAGCGUUUUUCUGAGGAAGUUUUAAACUAGAGGCUGUAAAGAGCCUGUGUCUCUCACCUUGGUCUAUGUGAAUAUUAAACAAAGGACACACUGUCAGAUGGAUUCAAGACAAAAUUGUGGUUUGGUGAUGGUGAUGUGUUUGUAAAUCUUACUUUACUGAACAUUCUUGCUGCUUACAAUUAUCUCUAUCUAUAAUGAACUUGACCCAGUAGUUACAGUGGAAAAUGUUAGUAAAAUUUUACAAAUUUUGUGAAAAUUGUUAAAAAUUGACUAUAUAAAGGGCAAUAACUCCUUAGGGGGUC